RNAcentral lists this ribosomal RNA (497 nucleotides) under uncultured bacterium. RNAcentral's name for it is "partial 16S ribosomal RNA". It matches the Rfam family "Bacterial small subunit ribosomal RNA", at positions 28 to 507 of the family's 1533-position model. The record is from RNAcentral.
GACGAACGCUGGCGGCGUGCCUAAUACAUGCAAGUUGAGCGCUGAAGGUUGGUACUUGUACCAACUGGAUGAGCAGCGAACGGGUGAGUAACGCGUGGGGAAUCUGCCUUUGAGCGGGGGACAACAUUUGGAAACGAAUGCUAAUACCGCAUAAAAACUUUAAACACAAGUUUUAAGUUUGAAAGAUGCAAUUGCAUCACUCAAAGAUGAUCCCGCGUUGUAUUAGCUAGUUGGUGAGGUAAAGGCUCACCAAGGCGAUGAUACAUAGCCGACCUGAGAGGGUGAUAGGCCACAUUGGGACUGAGACACGGCCCAAACUCCUACGGGAGGCAGCAGUAGGGAAUCUUCGGCAAUGGACGAAAGUCUGACCGAGCAACGCCGCGUGAGUGAAGAAGGUUGUCGGAUCGUAAAACUCUGUUGGUAGAGAAGAAAGUUGGUGAGAGUGGAAAGCUCAUCAAGUGACGGUAACUACCCAGAAAGGGACGGCUAACUACGUG